CCUUUCUAGGUGGGAUUAAAAUUUGCUAUUAAACUGGAAAGCAUAUAAUAAGAAAGAUAAAUGAUUACAACUAUCAAGCAUUUCACAACUUCAAGAGGCUUCUUUCAACUUUGACUUUAGCCUUCCUGGAAGAUGUAAAAGCAUUUCAAAGCAAAACUUUGGCUAUACUAAAAUGCUUACCUUUUAAUCAAGAUAGUAGAAAUUCUCCAAAUUGCUAAUUUAAAAGAAAGAUCCUUAAGCAGUUUAAUAUUGACAUUUCACUAAACUGUGUCAGGUUUACUAACACACAUUCAUCAAUGGGUAGGUGUGUUGUUUUCCCCACCCUUCCCUUUAUAACCUCGGCUGUGCCCAAAGUUUUACUUCACAGACUCCCAAAGGAGCUAAGAAAUUGCUUUCUUUUUUAGUGGGACCCUGUGGAUGGCUCAUAAACAGACAU
RNAcentral lists this long non-coding RNA (436 nucleotides) under Bos taurus (domestic cattle). RNAcentral's name for it is "long non-coding RNA NONBTAT016590". The record is from RNAcentral. Lineage: Eukaryota; Metazoa; Chordata; Mammalia; Artiodactyla; Bovidae.